RNAcentral lists this ribosomal RNA (253 nucleotides) under uncultured bacterium. RNAcentral describes it as "partial 16S ribosomal RNA". It matches the Rfam family "Bacterial small subunit ribosomal RNA", at positions 524 to 776 of the family's 1533-position model. The record is from RNAcentral.
UACGUAGGGGGCAAGCGUUGUCCGGAAUUAUUGGGCGUAAAGAGCGUGUAGGCGGUCCGGUAAGUCGGCUGUGAAAGUCCAGGGCUCAACCCUGGGAUGCCGGUCGAUACUGCCGGACUAGAGUUCGGAAGAGGCGAGUGGAAUUCCCGGUGUAGCGGUGAAAUGCGCAGAUAUCAGGAAGAACACCCGUGGCGAAGGCGGUUCUCUGGGACGGUACAGACGCUGAGACGCGAAAGCGUGGGGAGCGAACAGG